RNAcentral lists this long non-coding RNA (229 nucleotides) under Polistes fuscatus (common paper wasp). RNAcentral describes it as "uncharacterized LOC122515865". The record is from RNAcentral. Lineage: Eukaryota; Metazoa; Arthropoda; Insecta; Hymenoptera; Vespidae.
GCAAGCUCGUCGAACAUGCCCAAUAAUUGUGGCACCAGGUUGAAUGCAGCCAACAGUCACCGGCUUAGAACGUGCAGUCGAUGCACUUGGCUGGAGCUACUCUAAUAAUAGUACGAGAGGACCCAAACUUUCGUCGUGCUCGUUUCUAAGCAAAACUUUGAAAUCUUUUCUAAAUGAUAUUUCAAAUAAAACAAUCUAUAUGAAAACAACUUUCGGUCCAACUUGUAAA